GGUUGCAGCCAUACCGCCCUGCACAUACACAAUCUUGUCUGAUCUCAGAAGCUAAGUAGGAGUGGACCUGGUUAGUACUUGGAUAGGAGAAGGAAAAGGAAUGUUUAGACAU
RNAcentral lists this ribosomal RNA (112 nucleotides) under Prolemur simus (greater bamboo lemur). Lineage: Eukaryota; Metazoa; Chordata; Mammalia; Primates; Lemuridae. The record is from RNAcentral.